Molecule: ribosomal RNA, 446 nt
Filed under: Lensia achilles
Lineage: Eukaryota; Metazoa; Cnidaria; Hydrozoa; Siphonophorae; Diphyidae
Description: partial 16S ribosomal RNA
Rfam family: Bacterial large subunit ribosomal RNA
Source: RNAcentral
CCAAAUCCUAAAGGGGUUGAAAUAAGCAUAAUCUGAUGCCGUUUAAUUGGCGGAGUGUUGAAUGGACUCACGAGGGCAAGGCUGUCUUGGGCCGAGAACGCAAUGAAUUAGACAUGGUCGUGAAGAGGCGAUCUAGACCGAUAAGACGAAAAGACCCCGUGAAGCUUUACUAUACCCUAGCAGAUCCCAUGAGGGGCUCCUCCCUGGUCGUAUAUGCUUAACGGCAAUGGCAUAGGGAGGGGCAAUGAUCCGAUUGGUCGCUGCUAGGUUGGUAGUUUUGGUGGGGCGCCAGCACAUUAAAGGGAACGUGGAGUUGAUUAAGCCAUAAUAGGUAUAGCCUAGUGUAGGGAACAUCCUUAUACAGGGUCGAACGACGGUUAAAUGACCCGCCUAUAAGCAUACUAAGAUAGACGACAAAGGAUAAAAGCUACUCCGGGGAUAACAGG